RNAcentral lists this unclassified non-coding RNA (301 nucleotides) under Glomeraceae sp. RNAcentral's name for it is "partial contains 5.8S ribosomal RNA and internal transcribed spacer 2". The stretch from base 1 to 71 matches the Rfam family "5.8S ribosomal RNA", at positions 84 to 154 of the family's 154-position model. The record is from RNAcentral. Lineage: Eukaryota; Fungi; Glomeromycota; Glomeromycetes; Glomerales; Glomeraceae.
GUGAAUCAUCAAAUCUUUGAACGCAAAUUGCGCUUCCUGGCAUCCCGGGAAGUAUGCCUGUUUGAGGGUCAGUAUUAAUAAAAAAUCGGUUUGGUUGCAAAUUGUGACGUUUUCGGAGUUUGGGCUAUCUUAACUUUUUUGGUUAAGGGGCUUAAAAUUGACCUUAUUUGUGCUUUUUUAGACGUACAUAAAUUUUUUUUUAUUCGUCUAUUCUUAAUGCCAAAAUCUUAUUAGAUGCGAUCACAUCGUGUGGUUUAGUGUCCAUAAAAUUUUCAUGAUUUGACUUCAAAUCAGGCAGGAG